Lynx canadensis (Canada lynx) is the source of this 590-nucleotide long non-coding RNA. RefSeq lists it as uncharacterized. The transcript has 3 exons. NCBI's taxonomy places the organism in Eukaryota, Metazoa, Chordata, Mammalia, Carnivora, Felidae. The record is from RefSeq and is a predicted model, not a curated record.
CUUUCUCUACCCAGAAGUCCACUUGCCAUACUAAUCACCUCUAGACAUACUUAUCAUUCGAGAGCUGUCCUAUUUUAGCAGCUAGAUAGAGGCAGAGGCAGAACCCAAGCGUGCGGGAGAGAUGGACUCAAACAAGACAUUAACGGAGCCAGAUGUGAGUGUGAUGCCACCAUUAAAAUGGAUGCUGUGAGGAUUACGUACGCGGUUGGAGCAGUGCCUGGAAAGAGCAUCACUCAUUAAUGUUGACCAGUACUGAGGAGUGGAGUUGGUGCUGUGAAGGCUGUUGGCCCUCUAAGACAAUCUCCGUGAGAUGGCCACCUUUCUUGACUUCUUGGCUUUGACUCUAUGAACAGAAAUCAGCUGUCAAUUAAGCCACAUGGGCUCAUAGUAAUUCCCAAUUACUGAGUGUAUGUAAAAAUAACAUACUUAAUAGUCACUUGAACAUCAGGAUCAACUGUAAUGCCUCAGCUCAGUUAAUUAUUUCAAACACUGUAAGACAAGCUACAAACCUAUCAUAGUUACAUUUUUUUCUUUUUAUUGCUAUUUCUUUUUUUUUUUUAAGUUUACUUAUUUAUUUUGAGAGAGAGUGA